GAGGUCCUGCCUGCCCAGUGACAAUAGUUUAACGGCCGCGGUAUCCUGACCGUGCAAAGGUAGCGCAAUCACUUGUCUUUUAAAUAAGGACCUGUAUGAAUGGCAAAACGAGGGCUUAACUGUCUCCCUUUACAAGUCAGUGAAAUUGACCUGCCCGUGCAGAUGCGGGCAUAACAAUACAAGACGAGAAGACCCUAUGGAGCUUAAGACACAAGCCAACCAUGUCAAUAAUUUACACACCUAAAUUAAACUAUAACACUGGCCCUCGUCUUCGGUUGGGGCGACCACGGAGUAAAAUAAAACCUCCAUGCGGAUUAGGACACAUCCUAAAACCAAGAGAGACACCUCCAAGCCACAGAACAUCUGACCACAUAGAUCCGGCCUUUCAGCCGAUCAACGAACCAAGUUACCCUAGGGAUAACAGCGCAAUCCCCUUCCAGAGUCCCUAUCGACAAGGGGGUUUACGACCUCGAUGUUGGAUCAGGACAUCCUAAUGGUGCAGCCGCUAUUAAGGGUUCGU
Molecule: ribosomal RNA, 520 nt
Filed under: Gymnotus pedanopterus
Lineage: Eukaryota; Metazoa; Chordata; Actinopteri; Gymnotiformes; Gymnotidae
Description: partial 16S ribosomal RNA
Rfam family: Bacterial large subunit ribosomal RNA
Source: RNAcentral